CCGCCGUCUGCCCGCACGCAGCUCGGUCUCGGGAGAGGGAGCUCUGUGAACACCGCCCUUAGGGUCGUGUUCUGUGAACGCUGAGCACCAGGAGUUGAGGGAAGACGCGGCCCCGCAGAGUCCGCCCCUCCACGUCCCACCUGUGCUCCCCGGGAGAGCACACGCCUUGGAGCUUCGCCUUUGUCCCAUCCGCGUCUGCAUCCAUACCAGCGCUGAGCAGAACAAUUCGAAUAUUGGCAGGGGCUUCGUGGAUGGUCACAAAAGUGGAUUCGUGUCUGUGUCCAGGAUUUCAAGGCCUGUGCUGCUGGCAGAACCCCUGACCUGAGUGAGAAAGCAUCAUGUCAGGCAAGGAGGAGUGGACACUGGAGUCACCUGACGAAGUUGCCGGGCCGGGCCUCACUGUGGACUCCCCUGAGCCCCUCUGUUAGCCUUCUCUCCUGCGUCUGCUGCUUGCUGGAGUCCUGGACACCUCCAUCGAAUAAAAGCUCUCUGCUGCCAAAGGAGUCCCAUAUUGAGGUAUCCUUUCACAGAAGAGCAUGUGCUUAUGCCAGUAUGAAUUCCUUCCGAGUAGUUUCCCCUUUCUCCUGGACGGCACCGUUGGAGAAUGAGACAUGUUCAAGCGUACAGAAAACAGUUCAGAACAACAUCCGUGACUGGCGAGUUCGCCUGUUUAUCAUGCGCACUUUGAAAUGGGUCAGACUGAAGUACCUCCUUCGCCCUCCCAGCUGCCCACCCUGCCCCCACCUUCCACCCACCGCUGACAGACGUUCAAGGCCAGCUGUGUCCAACUUCCAGGUGCAAGAAGCCUUGGGCCCAGCCAGAGGUCACCUGAUGCCAGUUAGCACCCAGUUCUCCACCCUCAGUGUAUUUGCCCCUCCCCCACACUGCACAAAGGAAAAGGCACACACACACAUGUUAUUAAAAUGAACUGUUUAUAUUAUCUCAGUUGAGUCAAUACAUUAUAAUGUAUUAAAAUGGAAAGGUACAAAA
Marmota flaviventris (yellow-bellied marmot) is the source of this 990-nucleotide non-coding RNA. NCBI's taxonomy places the organism in Eukaryota, Metazoa, Chordata, Mammalia, Rodentia, Sciuridae. The record is from RefSeq and is a predicted model, not a curated record.